RNAcentral lists this ribosomal RNA (614 nucleotides) under Rhodosporidiobolus fluvialis. RNAcentral describes it as "eukaryotic LSU rRNA". It matches the Rfam family "Eukaryotic large subunit ribosomal RNA", at positions 37 to 664 of the family's 3401-position model. Lineage: Eukaryota; Fungi; Basidiomycota; Microbotryomycetes; Sporidiobolales; Sporidiobolaceae. The record is from RNAcentral.
UGCAUAUCAAUAAGCUGAGGAAAAGAAACUAACAAGGAUUCCCCUAGUAGCGGCGAGCGAAGCGGGAAGAGCUCAAAUUUAUAAUCUGGCGCUUUCAGCGUCCGAGUUGUAAUCUCUAGAAGUGUUUUCCGCGUUGGACCGCACAUAAGUCUGUUGGAAUACAGCGGCACAGUGGUGAGACCCCCGUAUACGGUGCGGAUGCCCAAUGCUUUGUGAUACACUUUCGAAGAGUCGAGUUGUUUGGGAAUGCAGCUCAAAUUGGGUGGUAAAUUCCAUCUAAAGCUAAAUAUUGGCGAGAGACCGAUAGCGAACAAGUACCGUGAGGGAAAGAUGAAAAGCACUUUGGAAAGAGAGUUAACAGUACGUGAAAUUGUUGGAAGGGAAACGCUUGAAGUCAGACUUGCUUUUCGGGGUUUACUCCGGUUGGCAGGCCAGCAUCAGUUUUCCGGGGCGGAAAAUCACGGUUAGAAGGUAGCAGUUUCGGCUGUGUUAUAGCUUUCCGUUGGAUACGUCCUGGGGGACUGAGGAACGCAGUGUGCUUUUAGCGAGGGCUUCGGCCCUUUCACACUUAGGAUGCUGGUGGAAUGGCUUUAAACGACCCGUCUUGAACACGA